AUUGAACGCUGGCGGCAGGCCUAACACAUGCAAGUCGAACGAGUCGAGGACGGGUGAGUAAUGUCGGGGACUCUGCCAGAGGGAGGGGGAUAACUGCUGGAAACGGUAGAUAACACCGCAUAACAUCGUAUUUGCCCAUAUGGGAUGAGCUAGUAGGUGGGGUAAAGGCUCACCUAGGCGACGAUCCCUAUCUGGUCUGAGAGGAUGACCAGCCACACGGGAACUGAGACACGGUCCAGACUCCUACGGGAGGCAGCAGUGGGGAAUAUUGCACAAUGGGCGCAAGCCUGAUGCAGCCAUGCCGCGUGUAUGAAGAAGGCCUUCGGGUUGUAAAGUACUUUCAGCGGGGAGGCUUUACCCGCAGAAGAAGCACCGGCUAACUCCGUGCCAGCAGCCGCGGUAAUAC
This 406-nucleotide ribosomal RNA is filed under the name uncultured bacterium. RNAcentral describes it as "partial 16S ribosomal RNA". It matches the Rfam family "Bacterial small subunit ribosomal RNA", at positions 30 to 526 of the family's 1533-position model. The record is from RNAcentral.